Non-coding RNA from Oryctolagus cuniculus (rabbit), 24082 nucleotides. The record is from RefSeq and is a predicted model, not a curated record. NCBI's taxonomy places the organism in Eukaryota, Metazoa, Chordata, Mammalia, Lagomorpha, Leporidae.
UCCCACAAUGCAGCGGGGCCAACAGCCGCGGGCCGGGCGGCGUCGCGCCCGCGGGCCCGGACGCCUGAGCCGCGCCGCCCCAGGAGUACUGUUUUUUGUUUGUUUUUAACAGAUGAGGUUGGUCUAACACGUACAACUAACUUUAUUUCAGCUAAGUCACUGUGAAAACGUAUUCACAGGUCCCAGGAACAGUUGGGGACGAAAGACUGGCCAGGAUAGAGACGCCCCAGAGAGGCUGGGAGGGGACGCCUCCUCACCAGCCCACACGGAGUCCCUUUCUCCGGCCUGGCCUGGAGGGCUGGAGUCUUUGAGAUGCGAGCUAGGUCAGUCAGACCCUCGCCGCAAGGGAGAAAGACCCAACCCCCUGGCUUGGCCCGGGGGCUCCUGGAGGGCGGCAGACACGCUGUCCCCGUGUCCUCCGGGCGGGGGGGCGUCUCCGCCGCCUCAGCCCCGUCGCCCCUGCAGGUGAAUGCCAGGCUCGCUGGGGCGCGUUUUCAGGCCACAUCUGCCCAGAAGAGCUCUACGCUCUUCCCUUGGGACCGGCUCAGCCAUCCUAGGGCAGAGCUGGGGCCCGGGAUUGGGGAAGGGGGCGAAGGGAAGCAGCCGGGGGGCUUGGACUAUGAGAAGUGGAAGAUGUGAGGCUAUCAGUGAAAAUAUUGUCUUCCACAUGGCCUUAUAAUUCUAAUUGGCCUCUGGUUCUUGCUAGUUAUAAUUUCAUAGUUAUUUCUACAAAUUAAGAAAAGAUGUGGAUGAAAUAGGUUAAUGGGCUAAACUGGAUCCCUCAUGUUAACAACAUCAUUAAUUUUUUUUUUCUUUUCUUUUUUUUUGACAGAGAAAGAGAAACAGACAGACAGACAGGUCUUCCUUCUGUUGGUUCACCCCCCAAAUAGCCACUGCGGCCGGCACUGCACCCACCAGAAGCCAGGAGCCAGGUGCUUCCUCCUGGUCUCCCAUGUGGGUGCAGGGCCCAAGCACUUGGGCCAUCCUCCACUGCCUUCCCGGGAAACAGCAGAGAGCUGGGCUGGAAGACUAGAACCCCGGGUACCGGCACCGCAGGCAGAGGAUUAGCCAACACUCGCUCCAGGCUAUGUGCACCCAAAAAAAGUGGUUCCUGUCUUCAGCCUGACCUAGCCCCAGCUGCUGUGGCCAUUUGGGGAGUAGAUGGAAGAGAUUCUCUCUGUCCCUUUCCCUCUCUCUGCCUCUUUGUCUGUAACUAUGCCUUUCAAAUAAAUGAAUACAUCUUUAAAAAAUGAGAAUAAAGAUUUAUCAUUUUGAUUCUCAUGUGCUUACAAGGGGCAAAAUUAGAACCAAUGCCUAGAAAAUACAGGGAAAGAGAUGUACAUCAAAUAAGGAAGAACUUUAAAAAUCAUCAGAACUGGGGGCUGGCACUGAGGUACAGUAGGUUAAAGUCCUGGUCUGAAGCACUGGCAUCCCAUAUGGGUGCCGGUUCUGGUCCCAGCUGCUCCUGUUCCAAUCCAGCUCUCUUCUAUGGCCUGGGAAAUCAGUGGAAAAUGGCCCAAGUCCUUGGGCCCCUGCACCCAUGUGGGAGACAUGGAAGAAGCUCCUGGCUCCUGGUUUCAGAUGCGGCCAUCUGGGGAGUGAACCAGCAGGUGGAAGACCUCUCUCUCUGUCUCUACCUCUCUCUGUAGCUCUUUCAAAUUAAUAAAAAAAUUAAUUAAAAAAUCUUUAAAAAAUAAAAUAAAAAUAAUCAGAACCAUCCAAUGAUUGAGUGGGUUGUCUCAAAAAGUAGGUUGGUAGGAGGAAAAUAGAUAUUUUGGGUGAUCAGCAUUAUGGCACAGCAGAUUAAGCUGCCGCUUGCCACACCAGCAUCCCAUAUUGGAGCUCCUGUUCAAGUCCUAGCUACUCCACUUCCAAUAUGGCUCCCUGCUAAUGUGCCUCUGAGGCAGCAGAUGAUCCAAGUAUGUGGGCCCCUGGACCAGGAUAGAGUUCCUGGCUCCUGGCUUUGACCUCUCCCAGACCUGGUUAUUGCAGACAUUGGGAAGUGAAUCACAGAUAGAAGAUCUGUGUCUCUCUCUCUUCAUCACUCUGCUUUUCAAAUAAAUCAAUAAAUCUGUAAAUAUAUAUAGUCAAAGAUUUAUACACACCCUAUAUAUAGGAUAGACUGACUACUAUAAAGAUGACAAUUCACAAUAAAUUAAUCUAUAAAUGUAACAAUUUAUUAGUUUCAUUUUAUUUGAAAGACAAAUAUCCCCCAACAGUGGGGCUGUGCCAAGCCAGAGUCAGGAGCCCAGAAUUCAAUCCAGGUGUUUAACAUGGGUAGCAGGGAUUCAAGUACAUAGACCAUCACCUGCUGCCUUCCAGGAUGCGUUAUCAGCAAGAAGCUGGGUUAGGAGUGGAGUAGCUCAGACUUGAAUCAGACAGUCCAAUAUGGAAUGUGUGCAUCCCCAGCAGUGUCUUAAUGGCCAGCCAAUGAAGGCUGCUGAGUACGUCCACUCCCUCAGACCCAGGAGCACCUGCUUUUGCUGGAAAGGGAAAAAUUGCAGGUGAGACAGCACAGUUGCUAAAGAAAACUGAACACACUUGGACUUGCUAAAUGUUUCUCAAAACUGGACAGUUACUACCACUUUGCACGUUUUGAUGUCGUUAUCUUUUUUGUAAACAAACAUUGUAUUGACAUUAAGAAUAUUGGUUUACUUUGAAAUCACUCCUCUGUUGAGUUUGGGUCUGGGGUGGGAAACCAUGUGGGGUUCUGCUGGAACCUCAGCUUGGUGAUGUGAUGAAUGCUGAUGGUCCUUCUAGCUUCAGCUAAUAACAGUUUGGAAGCCUCGGGGCUGUGGAAAUCACCUUGUUUGUUCUAGGUUUCUGAACAACAGAAAGUCCUUCCUUCUUUUACAAAUGGUGCUUUUGUUUCAGCAGAUGCCAAAAGGGAGUUGCCAUUUCAUAUCCCUGGGGAAUUUCUGCAAAUACCAUUGACACAGCUGCCUUUUGUACACAUCCUGGGUAAUAAGAGAUGGCUUUUGCAGCCAAUAUCAGGCUGGCAGCACACACCUGAGUUCUGUAAUAAUACCUAAAUGUUUGAAGAGCAUGUUUUAUAUGCAAAUAUAUUGUUAAUCUUUGUUAUAUACUGUAGUAAUUCUUACAUUGUCCAUAUGCUGUAGUAUGAUGCUGAGACAUAACUAAAUUUGAUACUCAUAAUUUUCAUAUGAAAAUGAAUUUUUAAAGUUUUGAAUAGAUAUUACUUUAUCAUUUUUGAACUAGGAAACUUCUUUUAAAGAUAUAUACAUAAAUAUAUGUAUGUAAAUAUGUUUUUCCUAGCCUGUUUCUUCUUGUUAAUGUAUUUGUUCAUGUUUGAGGCAUGGAACUGGGUAAAUGCAAAAUUCUGUGUUUAAUUUCUUCAGAAUGCACAUAUUUAAUACUAUACUAUAUCUGAUAGCACAUUGAAAUACCUCAUUUUAUGAAAAUAAUAACAAAUGGGGCUGGUGCUGUGGCUCAGCGGGUUAAUGCCCUGGCCUGAGGCGCCGGCAUCCCAUAUGGGCACCCUUUCUAGUCCCGGCUGCUCCUCUUCUGAUCCAGCUCUCUGCUGUGGUCUGGAAUAACAGUAGAAGAUGGCCCAAGUCCUUGGGCCCCUGUACCCACGCGGGAGACCAGGAAGAAGCUCCUGGCUCCUGGUUUCGGAUCGGCACAGCUCUGGCCAUUGCAGACAUCUGGGGAGUGAACCAUCAGAUGGAAGACCUUUCUCUCUCUGUCUCUCUCUCUGUCUGUCUCUCUCUCUCUGCCUCUCCUCUCUCUGUGUAACUGUGACUUUUGAAUAAAUAAUAAAUAAAUCUUUUUUUUUUAAAGAAAAUAAUAACAAAUGAUACAAAAAAGAAAAGGAAAUUGAUGCAUAGUUUUUCCAUAAUUUUCCAUGUAUGUUUUGAAGAUCCCCUUAUACAUGGAUUUCAAAUAUUUUUGCAUCCAAAUAAACCUAAAAGUUUUUAAAGAUUCAUUUGAAAGGCAGAGAGUGACAGAGGGAGAGACAGAGAGAGUGAUGAGUAAUCUUUCAUCCGCUGAUUCACUCUCUAAAUGGCCACAAAAACUGGGCCAUCCUGUCCAAGAUGAAGCCAAGAGCCAGCAACUCCAUCCAGGUGUCCUUUGUGGGUAGCAGGGACCCGUAUACUUGGGCCAUCUUCCAUGGCUUUCCCAGGGGCAUUAGCAGGGAGCCAGAUCUCAAGCAGAACAGCUGGGACUUGAAACAGUGCUCUGACACAGGAUGCUGUGUCACAAAUGGCAGCUUAACUCACUGUGCCACACACCCACCCCUAAACUUAAAUUUUAAUUCUAUUUUCCACAAAUUUUUGAAGUAUCCAAAUGUGUGUGUGUGUGUGUGCGUGUAUAAAUUCAGGUUGUUAUAAAUCAGUGGGAAGAGAUAGCCUAUUCAAUUGAAAAUAUUGAGGCCGGCACCGCAGCUCACUAGGCUAAUCCUCCGCCUGCGGCACCAGAACCCCAUGUUCUAGUCCCGGUUGGGGCACCGAAUUCUGUCCUAGUUGCUCCUCUUCCAGUCCAGCUCUCUGCUGUGGCCCAAGAGUGCAGUGGAAGAUGGUCCAAGUGCUUGGGCCCUGCACCCACAUGGGAUACCAGGAGCAAGCACCUGGCUCCUGGCUUUGGAUCAGCACAGUGCGCCGGCCGUAGCAGCCAUUUGGGGGGUGAACCAACAGAAGGAAGACCUUUCUCUCUGUCUCUCUUUCUCACUGUCUAACUCUGCCUGUCACAGAAAAAAAAUUUUUAAAAAAAGACUAUUUACUGAGUAUCUUGUACGAAGAAUUCCACCUUGGCAGGCAGUUUCAGACCAGAUGGGUAUAGGGAAGUUCAAUAUUUUUUUGUUUGUUUUUAAAUAUUUAUUUAUUUAUGUAUUUGAAAGUCAGGUUUAUGGGGGGGGGGGGUGAGGGAGAGAAAUCUAUCUGAUGGUUCACUCCCCAAAUGACCUCACAGCCAGGGCUUGGCCAAAUCGUAGCAAGGAGCCAGGGGCUUCAUCCAGGUCUCCUGUGUGGGUGCAGAGGCCAUCUUCUGUUGCUUUUCCCAGGUGAUUAGCAGGGAGCUGGAUCAGCAGUGGAGUAGACAGUACUUGGACCAAUGCCCAUAUGGGAUGCUAGUAGUGCCUUAAUAUGUACACCACAAUGCCAGCCCCAAGGUUCAGUUUUUAAGCCUGCCAAAAUAAACUAGCAAGACAGGUCAACAAGAGAAAAGUAUACAAAUAUAUUAAUGUUCAGAUGUACAGAGGAGCCACACAAAAUAUGAAACUCAAAGGAGGACCAGAUAAUUGAGGCUUACAUACCCACUUUUCAAGGAAGAAGAAAGUGGGGCAAUUUAGGAAAUUUCAAAGUAAAUGAUUUUUAGGGGAAAAAGAUCAGCUCAGAGAACAGACAAUGACCUAAGUUCCUUUGAGCUCUGGGUAUGAUGUUCUGUUUCCAGUCUCUUACCGACACUGAGGUGUAGCGGGUAAAGCUGCUGCCUGCAGCACCAGCAUCCCAUGUGGGCACUGAGUUGUGUCCAGGCUGCUCCACUUCUGAUUCAGCUCCCUGACAGUGGCCUGGGAAAAGCAGUAGAAGCUGACCCAAGUAUUUAGCCCUUGCCAGCCAUUCAGGUGAACCAGAUGGAGUUCCUGGUUUCAGCCUGGCCCAGCACUGGCCAUUGCGGUCAUCUGGGUAGUCAGUCAGUACAUGAAAGAUCUCUCUGUGUCUUUCCCUCUCUCUUGGUAGUUCUGACUUUCAAAAUAAAUAAGUACAUCUUUAAAAAAAACCUUUUUUUGUUAAACAUUUAUUUUUAUUUAUUUGAAAGGCAGAAUCACAGAGAGGCUGAGGCAGAGAAAGAGAGGUCUUCCAUCCACUGGUUCAUUCCCCAAAUGGCCACUACAGCGGGAGCUAGGCCGAUCCGAAGCCAGGAGCCCGGAGCUUCUUCUGAGUCUCCCAUGUAGGUGCAGCAGUUUUACCCGCUACACCACAAUGCCCGCAUCUGUGAUAGGAGUUUAAUCUUUCUUGGGUAAUGAAAUUUCAGUAGGAAGAUAGAAGACAAUUGUAUUCCUCUUUGGCAGAUCUGGACUUUAUAGAUAAAAGAACUGCAGAGAAAGCUCUUCCUGCAUUUUCUGUAUCCCAGGGGCUCUCAGUUUGAAGUCCAAAGUGGCACAUUUUGGGAUAUUAUUGUCUGAGCCCUAAAUGGGUUUCUAAGCCAACAUUCAAAAUAAGAUAUUUUAGUCCCAUAAUCCAUAAUUCUGCUUGAACUAAUCUUAUUUCUCCAACUAGAUUAGAAACUCCUUGAGGACAAGGAAUCUGAAUUUUGCAUUUUAUUAAGAAAAAGCUUUUAAGCAGAAAAAUACAUAAAUUUUUCAGAUAAAAUCUGUCACUUAAAUGCAGGGUUUUUUUUCAUAGCCAUGUAGUAUAACCUCAGAGCUCAGAGCUGCAUGGUCACAUAUUUUUGUUUUAACCUUUUGUAUCACACACACACACACACACACACACACAGAAAUACAAUACAGUUUUCCUGGCAACAAAAGGCUUAGUCAGCACAUUUCGCCUUUGGUUUGGUAAAACAAAAGUUUGUUUGUUCAAAGGCAGUGGACCAAGAAGGGGUGGCCUGCACAGUGCCACAAUCCUGAUUGAGAGAUCAUCAACAUGCAGCCUGUGACCUUGCCCUGGAUACCCACUUGGGUCUCUUAAUAACCACUGAUCCCUUCGGCAUACAUAAGAGCUACAACUAAAAAAAUAUAAAAUGCUCUUGUGAGAUGGAGCUAGUCAAAGAGAUUUUGCUUUUUUAUUAUUAUUAUUAUUUGACAGGUAAAGUUAUAGACAGUGAGAGAGAGAGACAGAGAAAGGUCUUCCUUCCGUUGGUUCACUCCCCUAAUGGCCGCCACAGCCAGCGCUGCGCCAAUCCGAAGCCAGAAGCCAGGUGCUUCUCCUGGUCUCCCAUGGGGUGCAGGGCCCAAGCACUUGGGCCAUCCUCCAUUGCCCUCCCGGGCCACAGCAGAGAGCUGGACAGGAAGAGGAGCAACCGGGACAGAAUCCGGCGCCUGAACUGGGACUAGAACCCGGAGUGCCGGUGCCGCAGGCGGAGGAUUAGCCUAGUGAGCCAUGGCGCUGGCCAACUUUAUUUUUAAAAUAACUAUAAAUAGUAAUAUAUUUUAAUGGCCAGGGACUGGAUUGACAUGGAAUAUUGAUGCAUUUGGGUUCUCCAGAGACAGCCAAUAAGGAAAUGGGGGGGGGGCAGGAAGAGAGAGAGGAAGGGAGGGAGAGAGGGAGCGAGGGAGAGAGGGAGAGAGAAAGGGAGAGAGGCUUUACCAGAGGAACUGGCUCAUGAGAUUCUGGAGUGAGAAGUCCCCAGUAAGCCCUUAGAAAGCUACAGACCUGAGAAUGCCCAGAGGACAGCUCAAUCUGGUUAGAAAGCCUCUCAUUUCUGGAAACUGAUGUGUUUCUCAAUACAAGGCUGAAGGCCUGAGAACUAGGGGGCUACUGGUACAAUUCUCAGAUCAGUGGCCUGAGAGCCUGGAGUUCUGAUGACCAAACUUAGUAGAAGGGCUGUCCCAGCUCCAAGAGAGAAACAGAAUUAGCCUUUUUCAUGCCUUUUUGUUUAUUUGAAUGAUACUUGCCCAUACUGAGGUGGAUCUUCCCCAUUCAGUCCAAUGACUCACAUGCCAGUCUCGCCUGGAAACAGCUUCACAGACCCACCCAGUAUUAAUCACUUUAUUAGCUGUCUAGGUGUUCCUUAGUCCAAUCAAAUUGACACCAAUGUUGGAAAAACAACUGUCUUUGUCCAUGUUCUCACACCAAAACAAUCAACACAGAAUGCUGCUGUGACCCCCAAAAGGGUAGGGAUUUGACCCCACUAGCAAGGAAGCAAGCAGUGCUGCAGGAGACACAAGCUGGUGUCUUCUAAAUCAAUCACGUCUGACGCUCUACCGGAGACAGUGUUAGGAUCAAACACACUGAAGGCUCCGCCCCCAUGAUAGAUCCUCCCCACAACCCACACAAGUUCAGAUGUCAAUCCCAAGUCCCAAAUGGUUUUACCUGUGCGCUCAAUGAUGGAUUAUAAAUAAGGGUUCCCACAAGCCCAUCCUCAGAUUUGAUUCAUUUGCUUGCACAGCUCACAGAACUCAGGGAAACAGAUUUUCCAGUUUAUUAUAAAAGAUACCAUGUUGAACACAGAUGAAGAGAUGUAGAGAGUGAUGUAUAGGGAAGAGCAUGGAGCUUCCACCCCCUCUCUGGGUGCACCAUCCUGUAUGAGACUCUGAGUGUUCAGCUUUCUGGAAGCUCUCCAGAUCCUAUCUUUUUGGUUUUUUUAUGAAAACUUUAUUGCAUAGGCAUGAUUAAAACAUGGACAAUCAUAUAGUAAAGUGAUUGCAAAAAGAGGGUCUGAUCUAGUGCUAUUAGACUGAAUAGUGAAACCCAUUAAGGCCUGUCCAGAUUCUUCUUGGCCUGUCUGUGCAGCAUUUCUCCACUUGGGACAUGGAACAGGACACCUACUCAAACGGGGACCUUAUGACAUACUGUCAGACAAGAUAGCAUGUUUUGCAGAGGGAGUUAUAAACCGUGAGCCACAGAUAAAAACCACAUACACACAUAUAUAAUUGAUGAUAACUUAUAUAUGAAUCUAUGUGUGUGUGUACUUAAUCAUAAUAUCACAAUAUAAAGCCAACCAGCACAAUUCAGAGUUUAAACAGCUUUUUUUUAGUGGGAUAGAAUUAUACUUUUUCCAAGUAUUUUGGAAUUGGAGGAAAGACUAAUUUAAAUCUCUUAUAAUAGGGGCAACUAUUUGGCGCAGUGGUUAAGACACUGCUUGUGAUGCCUAAGUUUAAGGCCCAGCUCCACUUCCUAUUUGACCACAUCUUGGAGGCAGCAGGUGUAGGUUCAAGUGGUUGGGUUCCUGCCAUCCAUGUGGGAGAUCUUUAUUGUGUUACUGGUUCCUGGAUUCAGCCUGGCCCAGUUCUGGCCAUUGUAGCAUUUGGGAAGUGAACCAGUGGAUUAGAGAUCUCUCUCUCUCUCUCUCUCUCUCUGCCUGUCUGACUUUCAAAUAAAUAAAAUAAAUUUUAACAGAUUUUUUAAGGGUUUAUUUUAUUUAUUUGAGAGAGUGUGUUGGGGGUGGGUGGAGACAGAGAGACAGAGGUCUUCCAUCCACUGGUUCACUCCCAAAAUGGCCACAGUGGCUGGAGCUGGGCCAGGCUGAAGCCAGGAGCCUGGAACUCCAUCCAGAUCUCCCAUAUGGGCAGCAGGGACCCAAGUACUUGGGCUAUCUUCCAUUGCCUUUCCAAAUGCAUCAGCAGGGGGUUGGAUUGGAAAUAGAGGAGUCAGGACUUGUAACCAACACUUACAUAAGGCAUGCCAGCAUCACAAGUGGUAGCUUAACCCCCUGUACUACAAUGCUGGUCCCAAUAAAAUAAAUUUUUAAAUAAUAAAUUCUGUAUAAUGAUAGACCAAAACCUUAACCUUUCUAAAGACCUGGGUUGUAGGUUAAUGUGCCAAACUAUUUAAUAGAAAAUGAAUAAGCAAGUUAGUCUUUUAUAUGUUACUCUAUACCAUCCACACACUUUAAAAAUAAAUCACAAUUAAAUUUAACCCUUUUUCUACCAAAUGACAUACCACAGUAAGCCCUUUAUUGCCAAGAAUUUCUAAAAUUAAAAUUCUAUGUAGUAGGUAUUAAGGGUUGAAUUGUAUCCCUCAAAAAGAUAGGUUGUUGAAGUCCUACGAAUUAUAAAUAUUAUUUGUAAAUAUUGCCUAUUUGCAAAUAUAAGUUUUCUUUAGCUAUAUUCAACAUGAGAUUAUUCUGUAUUGGAGUGCACCCUAAAUCCAGUGACUAGUAUCCUUUUAAGAAGGCCACAUUGUGGGGCCGGUUUUGUGGCUCAGAGGGUUAAGCUACUGCCUGCAAUACCAUCCUGUAUGGACACCUGGUUCGAGUCCUGACUGCACCACUUCUGAACAACUCCCUGCUAAGGCACCUGGGGAAGCAGCACAAGAUGGCCCAAGUCCUUGGACCCCUCUACCACAUGGGAGACCUGGAUGGAGUUCCUGGCUCCUAGCUUUGGCUUGGCCCAACCCCAGCACUUGAAAUCAUUUGGGGAGUGAACCAGUGGAUGAAAAAUCGAUUUUCUCUCUCCCUCUCUAACUGCCUUUCAAUUCCCUCUUUGUCUAACUGCAUUUCAAUUAAAUAAACAGACCUUUAGGAAAGAAAAAAAAGUCCAUAUCAGGAGCAGACAUUUGGCAUAGCAGUUAAGAUGCCAAUUGGGAUGCCCACAAUCCCAUAAAGCAGUGCAUUGUUCAAGUUUUAUCUCUGCUUCCAAUUCUAUCUUCCUGCUAAUGUGCAACCCAGGAGGCAACAGGUGGUGGCUGAAGUACUUGGGUGCCUCCUACCCAUGUGGAAGACCAGGAUUUGGUUCCGGGCUCCUGGCUUUGGCCUAGUCCAGCUUCAAUUGUUAUGGACAUUUGUGGAGUGAACCAACAACUGGAAGGUUUUUGUUUUGUCUCUCUGCCUUCCAAAUAAAUAUUUUUUUUUUAAAUAAGAAGACCAGGGGCCAGCAUUAUGGCACAGCAGGUAAAACCAUCACCUUUGAUGCUGGCAUCCCAUGUGGGCACCAGUUCCAGUCCCGGUUGGUAUACUUCCAAUCCAGCUCCCUGCUUAUAUGCCUUGGAAAGCAGCGGAGGAUGGCCCAAGUACUUGUGCCUCUGUACCCAUGUGGGAGACCUGGAGAAAGCUCCUGGUUCCUGGUUUCAAACCAGCCUAGCUCCAGCUGUUCAGUUGUCGCAGCUAUCUGGGGAAGUAAAACAGCAGAAGGGAGAAUCUCUCUCCCUCUCUCCCUUUUUCUCUCCCUCUCUCCCUCUCCCUCCCCCUCUCCUUCCCCCUCUCCCUCCCUUAUCUCCCUCCCUCCUUCCCUCUCCCUGUAACUGCCUUUCAAAUAAAUAAAUAAAUCUUUUUUAAAAAAAAAAACAUAAGAAGAUCAGGGGCUGGUGAAAUGUCAUAGCCAGUUAAACCAUCACCUGCCAAUACAGUCGUCCCAUAUUGGCACCAGGUCCCAUGUGCUGGCUGCUCCAAUUCUGAUCUAGCUCUUUGCCAAUGGCCUAAGAAAAUUAGCAGAAAAUGGCCCAAGUGUUUAGACCCUUACCACCCACAUGGGAGCUCCUGGCUCCCAGUGCUCAGCCUGGACCAGACUAGGCCACUGGGGCCAUGUGGGGAAUGAACUAGUGGAUGGAAGAGUCUCUUUCUCCAUCUCUCUCUCUGUCUCUGUAACUCUUUAAAGUAAAUAAAUAACUCCCUCCCCUUUUUUUCAAAAGAAGACCAUGUUAGGGUAGGUGUUUGUCACAGUGGUUAAGAAACUGAGAUAUCCUCAUUGGAGUGCCUGGGUUCAAGUCCUGACUGUGCUGCCAAUUUUAGCUUUCUGUUGAUUUGUAUCCUGAGAGGCAGCAAGUGGUAGCUCAAAUACUUGGGCCCCUAAAACCUGCAUGGGAGACCUGGAUUGAAUUCUUCAGUCUUGGCUUUGGCUUAAUCUAGCUGUGGCUAUUGCAAGAAUUUGGAGAGAGAACCAGCAGGUGGGAGAUCUCUCUCACUCUCUCUCCCUCAGAUAAAUAAUUAUUGGUUGAAGAAGACCACAUGAAGGCAAUGUAUUUAAUUUGCUAUGGCUGUUGUAAUAAGGAUUGAAUUGUGUCUCUCCCCCACAAUCAUAUUUAGAUACUGAAGUCCUAACCCCCAGUACCUCAUGAUGUGACCUUAAUUGAGGGUAAGGUCUUUUUUUUUUCUAAAUACGUUUUUCUUUUUUUCUUUUUAUUUUUUUUAUUAUUUUUUGACAGGCAGAGUGGACAGUGAGAGAGAGACAGAGAGAAAGGUCUUCCUUUGCCGUUAGUUCACCCUCCAAUGGCCACAAAUUGGGUGGCUUAAACAAAAAUGUUUUAGCUCAUAGUUUUGGAGACUAGUGUGGGGAGCAGCUCGGACUAGACUAAGUUACUGGAAUUAAGACUUAUUCUAUGCAUCUGCUCUCCUCUGUGGGGAGCAGCUCGGACUAGACUAAGUUACUGGAAUUAAGACUUAUUCUAUGCAUCUGCUCUCCUCUGUGGGGAGCAGCUCGGACUAGACUAAGUUACUGGAAUUAAGACUUAUUCUAUGCAUCUGCUCUCCUACAAUAUGGCGCUGGGAGAGGAGAAAACAGCUUCUACCCAGCUGCCUCCAGUUCAACCAAUAAACUGUAGGACUUGCUCCUGAUUGGAGAGCAGCGUACUUGGCGUGUGGGCAGCCGAGUUAGGAUUGGCGGAGGAGGACUAUAAAGGAGGAGAGAGACGGCAUGCACCAGGAACAUCUAUGGGGAACAUCUAAGGGAACCCGUGCAGCCCCCAGAGAGCCGGCCGGCGGUGUGCCGCUCCCCUGCGGAAGUGGGGAAUGCGGCCAGGGGGAACUGCCCUUCCACGGAGGUGGAAGGGACGGUAGCCAACCCGGGAAGAACCAGCAGCAAACCCGGGGAGGGCCGAGCAGACGAAAGAACAGCGCAGGGUCCUGUGUCGUUCCCCCAUGAAGACGGGGAGCGACAUAAUGGUGCCGUGACUCGGAUAUGAAGCCUAGGCAGGGCUUAGUGUCGUUCCUCCACAAAGAGGGGGAGCGACAUAAUGGUGCCGUGACUCGGAUAUGAAGCCUAGGCAGGGUAUUGUGUCGUUCCCCCACGAAGAGGGGGAGCGACAUAAUGGUGCCGUGACUCGGAUAGGAAACCUGACUCGGAUAGGAAACCUAGCUCGGAUAGGAAACCUAGCUCGGAUUGGAAACCUAGGACGGAUAUGAAACUUAGGAAGGAAGAAACGGGAAGAAGUGGAAAAUACCGGAGAGAGAGACUAGCAAAGAGCCUAGGGGAAAGCCGGACGAGAAAGGUGCCGGAAGAAGCUAUUGAAAGCCUAGGCAUAGACUUGGAUAUGGACUGUGGGAAAGAAGUUAGGAUUGAAAGCGAAAGUGAAAGCUUUCAUAGACUCGGAUGCGGACUAUGGCGGGGAAGCUAGGAGAUUGAAAGCGAAAGUGAAACCUAGAGGAAACUUGGACUCGGAUACGGACUGUGGGGAGUAGCCAGGAGAAAUGAGAGGAAUAUUGUUGGAAGAAAACUUAAGGAAACACACCGGGUAGAGAAAAAUGUUAGGGAGGAUGAAGCCGCGAGUGCAGGCCAAGCCAUCUUGGAAUUCUUCAAGUCACCCCAGGGAGCAGGAGGCGAAGAUCUGGAACCAGAGACGUGGGCCGCCAGGUUGGAAUUCGCCAGGUUAGUCCGGGGAACUUGGACUGAAUGCCGGUGGUGGCGGAAACAUUCGCGGAAGCCGCCGCGUGCAGAGAGAGCACGGGGCGUGAAUAGAUGGGGAACGCCGGGGCUGGCGCGAGGCCGUGGUGCGGGCGCGAAGUGCGUGGAGACCGCGGAGCGUGCGCGCAGAGCCGGGAACCCGCCUGCGGGGCGAGGCGCCGGGAAGCCGCGCGGAGCCGUGAAGCUGCCGCGGGGCGAGGCGCCGGGAAGCCGCGCAAAGCCGGGAAGCCGCGCAGAUCGGAGAAGCGCGGGCUGAAGCGGCUCAGAGCCGGGAAGCCGCCGAGAAGUAGUCUCGGGGCGGGCGCCGGAAAGCCGCAGGGAUAAGAGAAACAGAAGUUUAGAAGUAAAGUGAGAAAAAUAGGAAUGCUGGAAGAUAGAAGUAAAAUGGGAGAAAUAGGAAUGCCCGGAGAUAGAGAAAUAGAGAAAUAAAAAGGCCUCCCUACAACACUGCAAUGUGAGAGCUUGGAUUCGGUCUGCCUAAUCAAGUGAGGCGAUGAGCACCUGCGGGCAGCUAGCAGCUUAUGCGCCGCAGGUCACCGAAGACAGGCACGAAUUAACAUCAGUAAGGCUUCCCCACAAUACAACAAUAUUAAGCUUGGAUUCGGUCUGCCUGAUUUAAGGCGGUAAGCGCCAGCAAGCAGCUCGACCAGAGUAUGAGCUGCAGGUCACCGAAGAUAGGCACGAACCAACACUAAUAAGUCUCCCCCACAAUAAGGCAAUGAGAAGGCUUGGAUUCGGUUUGCCUGAUAGGUCUUGUAAGUCCCCUGCAGGCAGAGCAGAGCAUGCGCUGCAGGGCACCGAACACAGGCACGCAUCAGCGCCUAAAAACCUCCUCACAACAUGGCGAAGAGAGGACCCGGAUUCGGUUUGCCUCAUUGAUAGGACUUGUAAGAACCUGUGGCAACUCUAGCAAGUAGAGCAGAGUGUGUGCUGCGGGACACCAAAGACAGGCGCGUAUCAACGCCAAAAAAAUAAAAAGAAAGGGGGAUCUGUGGGGAGCAGCUCGGACUAGACUAAGUUACUGGAAUUAAGACUUAUUCUAUGCAUCUGCUCUCCUCUGUGGGGAGCAGCUCGGACUAGACUAAGUUACUGGAAUUAAGACUUAUUCUAUGCAUCUGCUCUCCUCUGUGGGGAGCAGCUCGGACUAGACUAAGUUACUGGAAUUAAGACUUAUUCUAUGCAUCUGCUCUCCUACAAUAUGGCGCUGGGAGAGGAGAAAACAGCUUCUACCCAGCUGCCUCCAGUUCAACCAAUAAACUGUAGGACUUGCUCCUGAUUGGAGAGCAGCGUACUUGGCGUGUGGGCAGCCGAGUUAGGAUUGGCGGAGGAGGACUAUAAAGGAGGAGAGAGACGGCAUGCACCAGGAACAUCUAUGGGGAACAUCUAAAGGAACACCUGUGCAGCCCCCGAGAAGAGCCGGCCGGCGGUGUGCCGCUCCCCUGCGGAACUGGGGAAUGCGGCCAGGGGGAACUGCCCUUCCACGGAGGUGGAAGGGAUAGUAGCCAACCCGGGAAGAACCAGCAGCAAACCCGGGGAGGGCCGAGCAGACGAAAGAACAGCGCAGGGUCCUGUGUUGCUCCUCCACGAAGAGGGGGAGCGACAACUAGAAGUCCAAAAUGAAGAAAUUGACAAAGGUCGUUCCUUCUGUGCACUGUGAGAAUUGUUCUGUGUCUUGUCCCUUGCUUCUGGAGGUUUGUGAUCCUGGCACUCCCUGGCUUAUAGAAGCAUCAACCUAAUCUCUGCCUUCAUCUUCACAGAGCAUUCUUCAAGUGUGUGUCCAAAUUUCCCCUUUUUAUAAGGAUAUCAGUCACAAGGACUAGGGUCGCCCUAAUGACCUCAUUUUAACUUAUCUCUGUCAAGACCUUACCCUCGCCAUCACCACAGCUCAGUAGGCUAAUCCUCCGCCUUGCGGCGCCGGCACACCGGGUUCUAGUCCCAGUCGGGGCGCCGGAUUCUGUCCCGGUUGCCCCUCUUCCAGGCCAGCUCUCUGCUGUGGCCAGGGAGUGCAGUGGAGGAUGGCCCAAGUGCUUGGGCCCUGCACCCCAUGGGAGACCAGGAGAAGCACCUGGCUCCUGCCUUCGGAUCAGCGCAGUGCGCCAGCCGCGCCGGCCAUUGGAGGGCGAACUAACGGCAAAGGAAGACCUUUCUCUCUGUCUCUCUCUCUCUCACUGUCCACUCUGCCUGUCAAAAAAUAAUAAAAAAAAUAAAAAGAAAAAAAGAAAAACGUAUUUAGAAAAAAAAAAGACCUUACCCUCAAUUAAGGUCACAUCAUGAGGUACUGGGGGUUAGGACUUCAGUAUCUAAAUAUGAUUGUGGGGGAGAGACACAAUUCAAUCCUUGAUAGACACAGAGAGAAAUCAAAGGUGGAGGCAGAGAAUGGAGAAAUAGAGCAAAAAGUCAAAAAACACUAAGGAUUAUUGCCCAACACCCAAAACCAGGAAGACAAGGAACAGGAAUUUUUUUAAAAAGAUUUAUUUGAAAGGCAGAAUUACAGAAAGGGGGAAAGAUCUUCCAUCUAUUGGUUCAUUCCUCAAAUGGCCACAAUAGCCAGUGCUGGGCCAGGCUGAAGCCAGGAGCCCGGAGCCAGGAACUUCAUCUGAAUAUCCUACGUGGGUAGCAGGGGUCCAAGCACUUGGAAAUGGAAGCUGGAUUGGAAGUAGAGCAGGUACUGGCACUGUGGUGUAGUGGGUUAAGCCACCGCCUGCAGCGCCGGCAUCCCAUUUGGGUGUUGGUUCAAGUCCAGGCUACCCCACUUCUGACCCAGCUCUCUGUUAAUGCUCCUGGGAGGCAGCAGGUGAUAGCUCAAGUAUUGCAGUUCUUGUUACCCAUGUAGGAAACCUAGAUUGAGUUCCAGGCUCCUGGCUUUGACCAGGCCCAGCCCCAGGAGUUCUGUGAAUUUGGGGAGUGAAAUAGCAGAUGAAAGAGGUAUCUGUGUCUAUGUCUCUCUGCUUUUCAAAACAAUUUUAAAGAUUUAUUUAUUUGAAAGGCAAAGUUACAGAGAGAUAGAGGCAGAGGCAGAAAAGUCUUCCAUCGGCCGGCGCCGUGGCUCACUAGGCUAAUCCUCCACCUAGCGGCGCCGGCACACCGGGUUCUAGUCCCGGUCGGGGCGCCGGAUUCUGUCCCGGUUGCCCCUCUUCCAGGCCAGCUCUCUGCUGUGGCCAGGGAGUGCAGUGGAGGAUGGCCCAGGUGCUUGGGCCCUGCACCCCAUGGGAGACCAGGAAAAGCACCUGGCUCCUGGCUCCUGCCAUCGGAUCAGUGCGGUGCGCCGGCCGCAGCGUGCCAGCCGUGGCGGCCAUUGGAGGGUGAACCAAUGGCAAAGGAAGACCUUUCUCUCUGUCUCUCUCUCUCACUCUCCACUCUGCCUGUCAAAAAAAAAAAAAAAAAGAAAAGAAAAAAGAAAAGUCUUCCAUCUGUUGGUCCGCUCCCCAAAUGACCACAAUGGUCAGGGCUGGGCCAGACCAAAGCCAGGAGCCAGAAGGUUCAUCUGGGUCUCCCAUGUAGGUGCAGGGGCACAAGCACUUGGGCCAUUUUCUGCUGCUUUCCCACACACAUUAGCAGGGAGCUGGAUGGGAAGUGGAGCAGCCGGGACUUAAACCAGCACUCAUAUGGGAUGCCAGCACUGCAGGCAGUGGCUUAACCUACUAUGCUUCAGUGCCAGUCCCAAAAAAUAAAAUUAAAAAAAAAAAAAGUAGAAAUGGACACAAGCCCAAGACUAGGGUGCUUCCUAUUAAGACUUAACUACAUUUCCCAGUGCUCAGGGUGUGCCCAGCCAAGCAGAACACACAGCAUAGGGUCAGAACACCUGCCCAGAUUGGUCCCUGCCAAAGAAUUUAUCCCUCCCAAGGGACCAAGAUACAGCUGCUACUGAAAGGAGUACUCACCUAAGCCUCCUAACUAAAGAUACUUGGUUUCCUCUGUAUUUGACCCUUUAGGAUUCCAGAUAUUUUAACGAAGUUUUUUCACAUAAGGAAAUUUGUUUAUUUCGAAGUGUGAUCAUACCCAGAUUUUUUUUAAAUAUUUAUUUAUUUAUUUAUUUUUGACAGGCAGAGUGGACAGUGAGAGAGAGAGAGACAGAGAGAAAGGUCUUCUUUUGCCGUUCAUACCCAGAUUUUUUUGAUACAAUCUCUCUUGUUCUCACCCUUGCACUCACUCUCACAUGCACUGUGUUCACCUUAAACCAAUUUAAUGAAAAUGGCCUAAAAUGUCAUGUCUUUCUAUGACCAUUAUCAGCUACACAUAUGCACACAAAUGCAUAUGUGCAUGCACCUGCUUGUGCACGAACACGGCAACAGAAAAUAGCAAUUACAGCUCAGAAGCUAAAAAAUUGAAAAAACUUAAGUGAUUAAGAUGUGUUACAUGACUGUAAAAAGCUAUAUUGACAAAAAGCAUCCAGGCUCACCUAUUAAAUUGACAGACAUUUCUUUUUUAAUGAGACUGUCAAAUAUCACCAUGGUCAAAGCAGCAAGGCUGAUGAACUCCUGCUACUGAUAAAUUGUGAAACCCGUAGGAAAGCGUUGGACAAUACAUCAUUAUUUUUAAAGAUUUAUUUAAGAGGCAGAGUUACAGAGAGAGAGUCACAGAAAGAAAUCUUGCAUCUGCUGUUUCACUCCCCACAUGACCACAAUGGCCAAAGCUGGGCCAACUGAAGCCAGGAGCCAGGAGCUUUUUCCAGGUCCCCCACGUGGGCGUAGGGGACCAAGUACUUGGGCCAUCCGCUGCUGCUUUUUCAGGUGCAUUAGCUGGAAGCUGGAUCAGAAAUGGAUCAGUCAGGACUGGAACUGGUGCCCAUAUGGGAUGCUGAUGUGGAAUGCAGGUGGUGGUUUUACCUGUUAUGCCACAGUGCCAGCCCCUAAACAAUGCAUCUUAAAGGCUUUGACAGUUUUCCUACCCUGUGUCCUAGUAAUUUUACUUCUAAUAGGACAUAAAGAAGUAAUUAAAGAAUUAAAGAAUAGGGACUGACAUUGUGGCAAAGCAGGUAAGGUGUCUGCAAUGCUGGCAUCCCAUACCAGCACUGGUUCAUGUCUUGACCGCUCCAUUUCCAAUCUAGCUUCCCCCUCCAUCUGAAACUCUUUCACAUAAAUAAAUCCUCUAAAAAUUUAAAGAAUAACUUCUUACACAUAGGUACUCAAAAAUGUAACUUAUACAGUAUUCAUAAUAGUGGAAACUAAAAAUAAAAAUAGAAUGAUAAAGUACUUUUUGGCAUAGUCUAUUGAUUGACUAUUGUGUAGGCAUUACAAAUGUCAUUAUAACUACAUCAACUUGGAAAAGAUAUACCUUUAAGGGAAAAAGUAAAAUGUAAAAGAAUACAUAGAUUUGGUAGACUGGUACAGUAAUGGCUUUGAUGAACCACAUAUGCCUGUUUCUGGACUCUGCGAAGUCCCCUCCCACAUUGGCUCUGGGCUUGGCCAAGUGUCUUUCAUUGGACAGUGGAACAUUAGCAAAAAUGAUUGCAGGUAGUGACCUGAAAAGUGUUUGCAUGGUGGUUCUUUUUUUAAAAAAUAUUUAUUUAUUUAUUUGAAAGUCAGAGUUAUACAGAGAGGGGAGAGGCAGAGAGAGAGAGAGAGAGAGAGAGAGAGAGAGAGGUCUUGCAUCUGAUGGUUCACUCCCCAGUCAGCUGCAAUGGCCGGAGCUGCACCGAUCCAAAGCCAGGAGCUUCUUCUGGGUCUCCCACAUGGGUGCAGGGGCCCAAAGACUUGGGCCAUCUUAUAGGCUUUCCCAGGCCAUAGCAGAGAGCUGGAUCGGAAGAAGAGCAGCCAGGACUAGAACUGGAGCCCAUAUGGGAUGCUUCAGGCCAGGGCAUUAACCUGCUAUGCCACAGUGCCAGCCCCGCAUGGUGGUUCUUGAUCUCUUUCCCUUAAUGCUAUUGGUACUCAGAUGCCCAAGUAAGAUGCUAGAGGCACAACACCCAGGACUAGCUACCAGAUACAUGAAUGAGGCCUCAUUAUACUACUGAGCUUCAGCUGAACCACCAGAAGUUUGUAGUGGUGUGAAAGACCCUAACUGAUAAUAGCAAAAGAAGUGCCAAAGCACAAAUUGAUGACACACAUGAAGGUGAACAAGUAAAAGUGUUACAAUUUUAAGCACUAAGUUUUGAAGUAGUUUGCUAUAAUUUUCACUUUGUUAAAAUAACUGUGCAUAUAUAGAAGGAAAGUAGCCCUGCUAUUUAGGCAAAAAAAUAAUUUACAGCAACCCUGUGAUGAAAGAAACUGAGGCAAAGAGACCUCUUGAGUAGGCAUGACUUGACAAGACCCUACCUACCAGCAGAGAGACAAGUACAUUCUAAAGAGAAGUUACUUAAACAACAAAGAAAAUAAGCACACAAAUGAAUACAGAGUUUCUCUUUGGGUUGAUGAAACUUUGAAAAUACAUAGUGCUGAUGGUUGUCCAACAUUGUGAAUAUAAUUAAUGCUAUUAUACCCACAAAAAUGGCUAAAUUAUAUAGAUAAAACAUAUAUAAACACAAUUUAGAAGCAAAUGCAAAACCAUAUAACCAACAUCAACGUAGCACAAACUUCUUCUCCAGGAUAGAAUUCUCUCUGUAACCUGCUAUAAAAAUGACUGCUUCAGGGACAAGCAUUUGGUCUAGUGGUUAAUAAACUGUUUGGGAUGCCCUCAUCCCAUAUCUAAAGGCCUGAAUUUUGAGUCCUAACUGCAGCUCCCAAUUUCAGCUUUCUGCUAAUGCAGACCAUGGGAGACAGGGGUGAUGGCUCAAAUAGUUGGAUUCUUGCCACUCAUGUGGGAGACCUGGAUUGAAUUUUAGGCUUCUGUCUUUGGCCUGGCCCAGUCCCAGCUGUUGAGGGCAUUUGGGGGGUGAAUUAGGGGUUGGGAAUACUAGCUUUCUCUCUGUCUCAAAUAAAUUUAAAAAAAAAAUUUAAAAAGCUGUUCAGCCAGUAUGAAUUAACAGUUUGUCCAAUAGCCAAUACCUGUUCUUGGGCAUUUUCCACAUUUCCAGGCAGAAUUAGGUUUAGUGAUGCAAUCCAAUCCUACCAGGCUUUUAGGAGCCAUGUAUAUCAGCUUAAGAUGAUAGAACAUAUUUUCCUCAAAGGAACCAGACCCAGCGUGACCAGAUCCCUACUCUACAUAUCUCCCAUGAGACACCAGGGCACAUUUUAUAUUUACAAGCAUGCCCAUAACCAAGAAUGUUCUUGAGUUUCCAAAUGUUAGGGGUAAAAUGGUGAUGAAGGAAAGUGGCCUUGCUUCUUGUCUCAUGUGGAAUUUCCCCACAGACAAGGCAGUGAGCAAACAAGAUUUUUUUGAGAAACCUCCUGCCACAGCAGUCAUGAAGGGAGGGCUCCAAGAGAGGAAGACCCGAGAAACUGUGUCUGUGGAGUCUUUUAAGCACAAUUCAGGGAAAAAGACAAAACAGCAGCUAACAAUCAAUUGGAGAUUGGGGAUAAAACCCAUCAAAAGGCCAGAAUUGUAGUCCUGUCUAGCUUGCUCAUGAUAAAACAAAAAAGCCAUCAGAAGGGUAGGAUAGGUAACUUCUUUCUAUUAUGAUAAAACUGGAAAGUCAGAGUAGGAUUGGCACUUUUAUCUUGUUACAGGCAGCUUCUGGAGAGGAUGCAUUUUGUACCGUCUUAAAGAGACUUCCCCUGUCCUCAUUCAUACUGGGACCCAACCUAACAGCCUAUUAGUCAACCCUCCUUCCCUGCCUCCUUUAGUAAGAUUUGACCUUCAUACUCUCAGUCUGACACAGCCUUGUGGCCGGGGCUCUGUGCCAGCACUGGUUUAGCCAGUGAACCAAGGGUGGCGGACCUGGCUGAAGCCUCCUGGGAAGAAGGGAAGGGGAUUUAAAGCAGCAGCUCACUCAGUCACCAUGUAAAUGAAUUCUUCCUACAGAGGCCAGCAUUUCUUCAGUUUUCUGGGUUGGGCUGGGACACUGGAAAUGUCAAGAAGCCACCUCACAAGAGAGGUGUUUGCUGAGUGAGUGCCCUCCCAGGGACUGUUAUUCGAAACUUGGGUGGGCUGAGACUGCUUCAUCUCUCCCUGCUGUACCAGUGCUCAGUAUGAGGCCAUAGGUUGUGCUGCAGGAUCCCAGACUAACUUGUGGCUUUCUCUCCUCCUCUUCCUGACCCUGCCCUAGCACAGUGUCUGCUGCCAACCUCAGGUUUCCUAAGUGUUUGUCCAAUUGAGCACAGGCAUUUUUACUUUUUUGUUUCCCCUCACAUGCAAAUAUUUGUUACUAAUUUCUCAACUCUUCAGCCUUGUGCACUUCCUUUGACCCUCCUUUCUUAGAGCUGUUUCCCCCUGCUCCUGGGUCCCAGUAAUUACCCCUUCUAACUCAAAUGACCUUAUUUUUUCCCACUUCCUCUUUCCUUCCAUUGUUGUGCAGAGGGAGGAGAGGCUGCUAGAAGGGGAAUGGUGGGUAGCAGGAUUUCUCAGCACUGUCUUCCAGGUUCUGCCCUUGAGGUCUAGCUUCCAGCAGGCCCCACACCCACGCCACCCAAUCUGCCCACCUGCAAAAUGGCAAAGGAGCCAGCAUUGUGGGAGAAAUCAGUAUGAGUGCUUUCAGUUUGCUAGCUCACAAUUGACUUCCAUCUCUCAAGGAAGCCAAGGACCCUCCUGAGGCACUGGGGGAUCCAGGAGAGGGACAUACAGGAGUGUCUCUCUCCCAAAAAGGAUGAGAAUCUUCAUUUGAGAGAAUAAAAUCUUUCCUUCGCCCUAUCUAAGGGUCCCAGUGGGAAGGGAAGGUUCUGGGAGAACUUAUAGGUGGUGGCAUCCUUGUUACCAUUUACUCAGUUUUUACUCAGGUAAGCUGGAGAUUCUGACACAUGGGUGUUGGGAAGACAAGCAAUUUGGUUAAGGGAAAUCAAUGCUAAAAAACAUUUUUAUAAAAUGUUUAUCCUGGAAACUUCUCUCAAGUGAUGAUUCUUCUCUUGGGAAACACAUCCUUGUACUCUCCCCCUCUCUCCACGAGACCCGGAGGCCUCAGGUGUCCUUGGUUUCCUUGAGAGAGGGAAAUUAACCAUUAACCAACAAACUGAAAGAAACAGUUUUAUUACAGAAAGCAAAGAGCAGACUACUCCACAGAGCAAUCCCGUGUGAAGCUGGGGUUCCCACACUUAUGGGGUCCAGAAAAUGUAGGUUAAUAUCUGGUUGAAAUACUUAACCUUAGUUCUGGGAAAUGGGCGGCAAUUUCCAGGAAUUAGGGAUCCCCUUCUUUUUUCUUCUUCUUACCUGGUCACUUCUGCAGUUUGUUGCAGCAUUAAUAACUGUCACUCCAGGUGGGACUGUUAUUGUGUUAACACAUUAUAAUGAGGGUAUAACCAUUCCUGGUCUCCUUGGAGUUAAGUUAGGUGCGGUCUUGGAUUCAGCUGAUUCAAACCAGUUCUUUUGCCUUGUAUCUUGUUUUUCAGCCCACUUCUUGGUGGAUAGAGCUGGGGCUUGCCACAUACUAUCUCAGUUUCUCCAGAGAUUUAGUCCUCCUUAUUCCCAAAGGAAUUUGGAUGAAGAUCUCAUCUUCUGUGGAUGCUUCCUAAUGACCAAAGGCAUUGGCCUUGCCAAUCCUGAGAGUAAUAAAAGCCUCUCAUGGCUUUUAUUUAUCUCCAUCUAAGGGCCUCAGCAGCAUGUCCUUCAGCAAUAGGCAUUGGCUGAAAUCCUCACAUGGCUCUCAUUAAACUGUUAAAACCUGGCAGAAACAAACUUAACCAGGUUGGACAAGCAAGGUCCAGAUAUUAGCAAUAAUACAGUUGUUACAAAUAAGGAGGUAGGGAUUAGAAAAAAAAAUAGCCAGAGGAAAUGUGUUACCACACCCUCCCUGAGGGCUGCCUUUGAAACUCCUACCAUAGCCAGUGCCAAAAUCACACUUUGGUGCCACAUAAAAAUAUACAACAUGGUGAGGGAGGGCUGACUGAAUCUCCAUGGGACCUAUAACCUACUAUAUGUCAUUUUAGGAUUUCCAUGGCUGACACUUCUACUCCCAUCAUGAGCCUGAUGCCAUGGCACUUCUGAGACUUUCUGAAAAGGCCAGAAAUUGGCCAGUCACCAAAUUCCUGUAAAUCCCUGCCCUUUCCUGGAAAACUUGGCCCAAAGUACCAUCUCCUGUGACUCCAGGGCACAUAAAUAGAUAACCUGUAACCUUAUGGGUUACAGCUCACUCUGGAGUGUGUACUUUUGCUUUGCUAAUAAAUCUUAUUUCUCUCCAAAUCUUACUAUAUGUCUAUGCAUUGGAAGUCAGAACCUGGACUGCCUGGGCUCCCCUCAGUGCAGUGACUAUCACGGGGUAAGAAGUUGAUGAGAAGGAGGAGCUGCCCUUGAGGCUGCCCAAAUUGUGUUGGCCUUUGGUCGUUGUUGGUUGUGCCAAUGCAGCCACUCUAUUUGUUCAUAGAUUUUGCAGAUGCUAGUUUUUAUCUCCGCUGACUUGUUAAUGCAUGUGCAGCAAAUCUGAUUAAUUACAGCACAGAUGCCUCCUGUUCAGUCAGGAGAUAAUCUAGUGCCAGAGGGUGAUUGAAGACUAUUCCUACAAGAGAAUUAUGUUGGUUUGGGAGGUCCUGUAGAGUGUCUGCAGUGGUUAACAUAAAAAACUCAAAGGUUGAUGUCAGGUUGCAUGUGGUUACCUUGUGAUAGGUGAAACCUCCCCAGGGUGUAAAAAGUUCCAUCCUGGCCCUUAUUCCUGCUAGUAUAAGCCCAGUUGCCAUUUUUGUUCUUUUUAAUUUUAAAAUUUUUGAAAUAUUAUAUACAGAGAUCCAAAGUUGGGAUGUAGGGACCUGGCCUAAUGCACUUUGUUCAGUGAACUGCACUUGUGGAUUGAGCCUAAGGAAGGGACCUGAAUGUAUCACCCCCCAGGGUUUGUCUCUGAAGAGACAAAGUUUUGUGGGUUUUUUUUUUUUGGGAUGACCACAGAUG